Gallus gallus (chicken) is the source of this 3134-nucleotide long non-coding RNA. The record is from Ensembl. NCBI's taxonomy places the organism in Eukaryota, Metazoa, Chordata, Aves, Galliformes, Phasianidae.
CCACGUCCCUCAGUGCCACAUCUCAACAGUUCUUGAACACCUGCAGCAGUGACUCUACUACUCUCUGGGCAGCUGUGCCAGUGCCUGAUCAUUCUUUUGGAGACGAUUUUUUUUCUAAUAUUCAACCUGAACCUCUGUUGGCACAACUUGAGGCCAUCACGUCUCCUACGGGCCUUGGGGACACCCCAUGCAUACAGGAGCUAAGCAGGAUUCACUGGAGUGCUAUUGGGAUGUCCCCUUGGGGAGGUCCUGAUGGGGACAUCCCAGAAGGCUCUCUCCCUUGAGAUGGGAGAUGCUGGCAGGAGAAGAAGCAAUGGAUCUGCCCUUUGCUUGUGAAUCUCAUGCCAAAAUAGGUGCCUCCAUUUCCCCUAAAAUGGGUAUCCAUCUUUUUGGCUUGCCUGGACCAUGCUGAAUGAAAAGAAAUUGUCUUGCUCCAUGUAUAUUUGAGGAACAUGCUUAGUGGGCAUGGUGGUGACAGGUUGAUGGUUGGACUUAGAGGUCGUUUCAUGACUUAACAAUUCUAUGAUAUAACAUAUAUAAUAUAGGUAAUGCAUAUAAGUAACAAAGCCUCAAAACAAAAAAAAAAAAAAAAAAGAGGGUAACAAAACCAUAAAGCUAGCAGGUUGGAGGCAUUUAAAACCCUGUUUCGAUCGAGAGGAGACACACAGGUGCUGGCUCACACCGUAAUGUUAACUGCUUCUUUCCCACGCUGCUUACCAGCAGGUACAGCUUCACCCAGGACUCCAAAAAUAUGUUGUAAAGGUUUCUCUGGUGCCUCAGCACCCUGGACUGAAGCACUGGCACAGGUUGCUCAGAGAGGUGGUGGUGCCCCAUUCCCGGAGACACACAAGGUCAGGCUGGAUGGGGCUGUGAGCAUCUGAUGGAGCUGUGGGUGUCCCUGUUCACUGCAGGGAGUGGGACCAGAUGGCCUUUAAGGGUCCCUUCCAACGCAAACCAUUCUAUGAUUCUAUGGUUCUAUGAUUCUACCUAGAGAAGCUGUGGAUGCCCCAUCCCUGAAGGUGUUCAAGGUCAGGUUGGAUGGACGUCUGGACAUCCUGAUCUGGUGGAUGGCAACCAGCCCUUGGUAGGAGCAUUGGAACUGGAUGAACUUUGAUGCCCCUUCCAAUCCAAGCCAUCCAUGAUUCUGUGACUUGGGAGCACCUUCCUGGCAACUCAGCAAUCCUAAAUGCAGACUAGAGAAACUGGACAGAGGGAGAUGGAGAAAUACUUAGAGCCAGCGUUUCCCCAUAAAUGAGUCACCAGUGUAUGCUAUGAACACAAGUGUGGCCCUCGUGAUCCGUUUUCAUUGCAGGACCAAAGAAACAGACCAAAAGGUCCAGGCUGCAGUGGGGUUGAUGCAUUUUUGCAUGAAAACAAGCAGAGAUGCAGAGCUUCAUCCCAUGUGUCCUUGGGAGAAGUGGACAAUUCCCCAGAUUUCCCCAGUGCCAAAAUAUCACUUCUGAAUAAUGUUUUCUUCCUCUUCCCCACUACCUCUCCUCUCUCACAACCUCCCCUCCUGUUUUCUGGUCCUGGAGGUGCUGAAGAGAACAUCAUCCCUUCCUCCCAUGUUGCUGGAAGGAAGCAGAACGUGUAAUGCUAAAUUGUGAUGGGGGGGAAAGAAAAAGGUGAUCAAUGGAAUUCACUUUUUUUUGGGGGGGUGGGGGGGCUGGGAAGAGCAUCCUACAGCUCUGUGCACUCAGGGUCCAGGUAGUGGAAAUAACUCUGCAGCAAAAGGGUGGCCCCAUCCCAGGGUAUUUUCCUUUAUUUCAGGCUCCUCAGCUUGGAGAGGCGUGAAUGCAGCAGGUGGGGAGGUGUGGGGUGAGGGGGGCAUCCCUCCUCUUGGGUGGGUGCCCAAAAUGUUGGGUGCUCCGACCACCAGCAACACACCAGUGCCGAAUCAGGGAUGAGUUCUGCCAUAGGGCCACAAAUAAUAUACAUAUAUAUAGAGAGAAAGACAAAUGGAAAGAAAACGGGCCACCAUCCUGGAUUUUGAGCAAAAAUAACAAAGAAAAAAAUAUAUAUAAAGAGAAUGGAAAGAAAUGGAGCUUUUCUAGAAAGCCCAAUUUCUAGAAAAACUCCUGCACCCAGGGAGACAAUGAGCCCCACGCGGCGCUUCCUCCCAUUCCUGCAGCGGAUGUGUUUCUCAUUUGGGCUUUGUUUUGUUUUCUUUCUUUUCAUUUCCCCCUCCCUUUCCCCUUUCCCCGCUCUGCCCAGCGGGAUGCAGCCAAUGGCCCCAAUGGACAGACAACGGAUGGACAACGGGACGCGGCCGCUUGGUUCCAUGAGCAACACGAGUUUUGGAAGAGCGUGCCCUCCACGCCGCGGUGUUUUGCAUUAAAAGGUCCGGGGUACGGAUAGUGUUGCAGCAGCAUCUUCAAAGUCUCAUGGCUUUCAAACACAGCCGUGCACACAUGAGCCCCUCCCUCGCGGCCGUCCCUGUCUCGCAUUACGCUGGCAUUUUCUUUGGGGAUGAACAGGGGAGAGACUCCGGCGUAGUUUAUUUUCCUUCCGAGCAGGGAGGAGAGAACGCGCAAAAUGCUCCUAAUGGAGCAAAGCGAGCAAGAGGAGCCCAAAGGCGCGGUUGUGUAUUUCCGUAGCCACCGUCUAUAAUAAAGCCUGGAGCCGGCCCAAGCCGCGUCUCUAUUCCUUGGGUGUGCACAAAAAGGGGAAUAUCGAGAUGAUCUCGUUUCUGUCUCUCUCCAGUCUCAUAUCGAACAAAGGGCGGAUGGGAACAAGAAAGGAAGGGAAAAAAGCAUCACCUGUUCCCAUACAGUCUUAGCGAGAUCGCGGUCAUUAUCUCGGCAGCCUCACAUUUCUAAAGGGGCUUCGUUUGUCUUUUCAAACACUGGCAUCUUGUUAAAAAGCAGAGGGGAAAUGGCCGAUUUGCUCCGUUCCCCCCCAAAAUGAGCGGCGGUGCCACGGCCGCCCCCGCAGCCCCAACUUUAACACCUGGGAAAAGAAAGUGGGAAGGAAACCAAAGGCACCCAAAGAGAAAUAAAGGCGCCGCGGCCGAAGGGCCCCAACCCCGCUUCUCCCGAUGGCGUUCCUCCAUCUGACAAAAGCCUUUGGUUUUCUGUCAUUCUUUUCAUUUCCUUGAUGGCUCCCCAAUUGUCCAAGCCUUCAAGAAAACGCAC